RNAcentral lists this long non-coding RNA (1208 nucleotides) under Homo sapiens (human). RNAcentral's name for it is "long non-coding RNA NONHSAT179872.1". The record is from RNAcentral. Lineage: Eukaryota; Metazoa; Chordata; Mammalia; Primates; Hominidae.
UCUCCCCCGACCAGGAGUGGUUGGGGCGCUGAGAGGAAGCAGACGCUGAGAUGGAGCAGGCCCUUCACCGGUUUGGGAGAGGGUUGGUCUGGCUGUCAGUUGCCUGGCUGUCUGUUGGGCGUGUGCGUGUGCGUGAUGAUGGGGACACGGGGCGGGGAUUCUGUAGAGCUGGGCCUGUCCUGACUAGAGGACCCUCUGGGGACUCCUCUCCCCUCCCCCUCCCCACAUCUGUUACAGCCGCUUACAAACACGCAGAUGGCAAGAAGAUUGAUGGCAGGAGGGUCCUUGUGGACGUGGAGAGGGGCCGAACCGUGAAGGGCUGGAGGCCCCGGCGGCUAGGAGGAGGCCUCGGUGGUACCAGAAGAGGAGGGGCUGAUGUGAACAUCCGGCAUUCAGGCCGCGAUGACACCUCCCGCUACGAUGAGAGGGACCGGGACCGGGACCGUGAGCGGGAGCGCAGAGAGCGGAGCCGGGAGCGAGACAAGGAGCGAGAACGGCGACGCUCCCGCUCCCGGGACCGGCGGAGGCGCUCACGGAGUCGCGACAAGGAGGAGCGGAGGCGCUCCAGGGAGCGGAGCAAGGACAAGGACCGGGACCGGAAGCGGCGAAGCAGCCGGAGUCGGGAGCGGGCCCGGCGGGAGCGGGAGCGCAAGGAGGAGCUGCGUGGCGGCGGUGGCGACAUGGCGGAGCCCUCCGAGGCGGGUGACGCGCCCCCUGAUGAUGGGCCUCCAGGGGAGCUCGGGCCUGACGGCCCUGACGGUCCAGAGGAAAAGGGCCGGGAUCGUGACCGGGAGCGACGGCGGAGCCACCGGAGCGAGCGCGAGCGGCGCCGGGACCGGGAUCGUGACCGUGACCGUGACCGCGAGCACAAACGGGGGGAGCGGGGCAGUGAGCGGGGCAGGGAUGAGGCCCGAGGUGGGGGCGGUGGCCAGGACAACGGGCUGGAGGGUCUGGGCAACGACAGCCGAGACAUGUACAUGGAGUCUGAGGGCGGCGACGGCUACCUGGCUCCGGAGAAUGGGUAUUUGAUGGAGGCUGCGCCGGAGUGAAGAGGUCGUCCUCUCCAUCUGCUGUGUUUGGACGCGUUCCUGCCCAGCCCCUUGCUGUCAUCCCCUCCCCCAACCUUGGCCACUUGAGUUUGUCCUCCAAGGGUAGGUGUCUCAUUUGUUCUGGCCCCUUGGAUUUAAAAAUAAAAUUAAUUUCCUGUU